This 525-nucleotide unclassified non-coding RNA is filed under the name Hevea brasiliensis (rubber tree). The record is from RNAcentral. Lineage: Eukaryota; Viridiplantae; Streptophyta; Magnoliopsida; Malpighiales; Euphorbiaceae.
GUGAAAAAAAAAAAAAAUUAGCAUCUAAGCUGUGAUGAAUAUGAAUCUUCAAAAUCAUAAAAGCUAAUAAACAUUAUAUGCACAUUUGAAAGUGGGGAUAGGCAGUGUUGUAGAGAAAUAGAGAGAAAAAGUACAAGUACAUGAAUUACUACAAGCUAAUCCACCUGGAACUAGAAAAAGUCAUAGAAAAUAUAUACACACUCAGACAAACUUUUAGCCAUCAAACAAUGUACAAUUCUGAAAAUGAAAAAUGUGGAUACGAAUAUGCUACACUCAUAUCAUGUCACCAACUCUCACAAAAUAAAAAAUGAAGAUGAUAACGAGCAUAGUCAGAAGUACCAAAAGGAAAAAGAAGAAAAACCUUCAUAACUUGAGGAGCUCUGUUAAGCCAUCCAUGAAAACCCUGAACUCUGUAAAUUCCUAGUCCAGUUUGAUACUAUUUAUUACUUAAGUUAGAGCAAUCAAUUACAAAAAAGUUCAGAAAUUUAUCAAAUAGAAUAAACAAUAAUGACAACAAAUUUAUAG